RNAcentral lists this ribosomal RNA (439 nucleotides) under uncultured bacterium. Its description in RNAcentral is "partial 16S ribosomal RNA". It matches the Rfam family "Bacterial small subunit ribosomal RNA", at positions 339 to 795 of the family's 1533-position model. The record is from RNAcentral.
CUACGGGAGGCAGCAGUGGGGAAUAUUGCACAAUGGGGGAAACCCUGAUGCAGCGACGCCGCGUGGAGGAUGACGCAUUUCGGUGUGUAAACUCCUUUUAUAUAGGAAGAUAAUGACGGUACUAUAUGAAUAAGCACCGGCUAACUCCGUGCCAGCAGCCGCGGUAAUACGGAGGGUGCAAGCGUUACUCGGAAUCACUGGGCGUAAAGCGCGCGCAGGCGGCCCCUUAAGUUGGAUGUAAAAGCCUACGGCUUAACCGUAGAACUGCAUCCAAAACUGAGGGGCUAGAGUCUGGGAGGGGAAGAUGGAAUUAGUUGUGUAGGGGUAAAAUCCGUAGAGAUAACUAGGAAUACCAAAAGCGAAGGCGAUCUUCUGGAACAGUACUGACGCUGAGGCGCGAAAGCGUGGGGAGCAAACAGGAUUAGAUACCCCCGUAGUC